CAGCCGCCGCGGGAAAACGGAGGGGGCUAGCGUUGUUCGGAAUUACUGGGCGUAAAGCGCACGUAGGCGGCUUGGUAAGUUAGAGGUGAAAGCCUGGAGCUCAACUCCAGAAUUGCCUUUAAGACUGCCGAGCUAGCAGGUGAGAGAGGUAAGUGGAAUUCCGAGUGUAGAGGUGAAAUUCGUAGAUAUUCGGAAGAACACCAGUGGCGAAGGCGGCUUACUGGCUCAUACUGGACGCUGAGGUGCGAAAGCGUGGGGAGCAAACAGGAUUAGAUACCCGCGUAGUCCCUGUCUCUUAUAC
RNAcentral lists this ribosomal RNA (301 nucleotides) under uncultured bacterium. RNAcentral's name for it is "partial 16S ribosomal RNA". It matches the Rfam family "Bacterial small subunit ribosomal RNA", at positions 509 to 807 of the family's 1533-position model. The record is from RNAcentral.